RNAcentral lists this ribosomal RNA (326 nucleotides) under uncultured eukaryote. Its description in RNAcentral is "partial 18S ribosomal RNA". It matches the Rfam family "Eukaryotic small subunit ribosomal RNA", at positions 1470 to 1796 of the family's 1831-position model. The record is from RNAcentral.
CCCUUAGAUGUUCUGGGCCGCACGCGCGCUACACUGUUCGACGCAGCGAGUCUUAACCUUGACCGAAAGGUUUGGGUAAUCUUCAGCAAAGUCGAACGUGAUGGGGAUCGAUCAUUGCAAUUAUUGAUCGUGAACGAGGAAUUCCUAGUAAGUGCAAGUCAUCAGCUUGCGCUGAUUACGUCCCUGCCCUUUGUACACACCGCCCGUCGCUCCUACCGAUUGAGUGCUCAGGUGAAUAAUUCGGACUGCAGCAAUGUUUGGAUCCCGAACGUUGCAGCGGAAAGUUUAGUGAACCUUAUCACUUAGAGGAAGGAGAAGUCGUAACA